UUUAUGCUAAUUGCUCGUCACUGAAGCACUCUAAAACAUCCUUCUUCUGUUUUUUUUAUUAUUUUUUUUUAUUUGUGAUGGGAAUAUUUCAUCAGCGAAUAAAAGCUGAGUUGGUGACAGAACAGUCGAUUAAUCUCUGUGUGGUUUUCACCACAGUUACAGUACAAACGUGUCGAAUCAAAACGCGCUCUCGGCUUUAGUCUUGUACUGUGGGCAGCGUGCUGAGCAGACAUUUGCAUACAGUUGAUGUGCAGAUUUCCUCACCCACACAUCCAAAACUUUAGGAUGGGAGUCAACAUCUCUUACAGAAUACAUUUAACAGCUUAACGUAGUGAAGCAGGAGCUGUCGACGCUGAACAGGCAGCGGCUCCUUCACUGUUUUACGCUCCACAGUCCACUUACAGUGUGUGUUUUAGUCCAGAGCUCAUCAAUUAACUUGAACUGCAGCUCAUUUUUCAUAUACGUUUAAUGUUAAUGUCUGUCCUUGACGAAGGUUACAGAGGAAAGUGUGUGUGUGUGUGUGUGUGUCCUGAUACAUUUAUUAAAGGGCUGUUUCUUAAUUAAGUCUUUAUAUUAUGUAUAAGGUCCCAGCGAAGUUUGAGGGAAACGAUAUUUAUUUUUACAAUAACUAGCACAAUAACAUGCUUUUUCUCAUUCUUUGUUGGUUUGUUGCAUUUACAGCAAUUUGAAACUCAUUACUUUCAAAUGGUCCGCUGUGAUAGUAUUUACUGUAGCGACACCUUUAGGAUGAACUGGAAAUGUGCAAAAUGUUCAUACAUUCAUAAUUAAAUGCACCACAGAUGGAGCUCCUGAUAGAGGCCUGUGCAGUCGACCACUGCAGGACACAUUAUGGCAAUUUCCAGCUCGAGGAGCCAGCGAGCGUCAGAGCUGGCAGCGCCGCCGGAUGAGCCCGAGCGUGACUCCCGACGCCUGCACCGCUGGGACGCCGCCCAACCCGAGGAGGUGUGCAGAGGACAGCGCCGUUCAUCCAACACAGCUCUCCAGCUGCUUGAGUCGAUUCAACGCAGCAGGCGGCGAACGCACCCUGACUUCCUGUUCCUCCAACCGAGAGCGAGAUCGUUCGCACAUCAACGAGCAUCACAGCUGGAGCCGCAAGUGUGUGUUGGUGUGUGCGUGGAUGUUUUCACCAUCAUCUGAAGACCCAGCUUGAGUUUUUUUUUUUUUUUUUAAGAAGCUCGGCAGGUAAACGUUCAGCAGAAAAGAAGCUUCCAGAGCCUGAUUAGACAUUCAUCACACGUCUUCUGUUCACGGCGACGCCGCCAGCGAACGCUUUCACGAGUCUCUCAGUCAGUUUGCACUGCAGAAGACGGUCUGUGUCACAUCGCAACUGUUCUGUCAAAAAAUCAUUUUUUUUCCUGCGAGGAUCUUCAUCGUCGGAGGAGGAAGAAGAAGAAGAAGAAAAAAAAAAAGACCAGAAGUGACGAGGUGACGGCACCACACAUUUUUAGAGUUGCCCUCAAACUGUUUCGUGUCACCUUGUCAGCAUUAACGCCUCGACGUCUCUCGCUGCAGCGCUGACGUGUUAAUUAUGGGCUAACCCAAACAAAUGAGGCGACAUCAUCAACACACUCCAAGUCUAAGCUGUCAGGCGAAGAGAAUCAGUAACAAGCCUCCCUCAAGGGGUAUUUUUUGAUAAACUGCAUCUUCGGUGGCUUUUAACACUUUCUGACAGCUAGAUUUUAUUUAGAGUCUUAAUUAAAGAGCAAAUACUUACGCGUACGCUUGUGUUUUACUGCAGAACAGAGUGGAGUGUGAACAAAUUUGAUGUCAGAUGACAAAAGUCAAGACGAGAACAUGAAGCUUGAAAUACAAAGGUAACUUUUGCAUCCAAACCAAGUUUUAAAAAAACUAAGUUAUUCCUUUUGAGGCCGAGAAAACAUGUCUGCAAACAAAAUCUGUCUGCUUUGUUUUGUUUGUUCCCUGAACGAGAUCGAAGGUCGAAGGUCGAAGCGUUAUCGCUCACUGUCAGAACAAUCAGAAACAAGAUGUACAUUGUGAGGUUAACUGUGAAAAGUUAAGAAUCUGUACCGACAAACAAUCCUCAGAUACAUUGUGAGGAAUGCAGCGGACGCACGCCGGCUGUCUUUGACAGAGGACAGGCUGCGUUCAGUAAUCCACGCUGAGUAAACAGUCGGCCUGCAGUCAUUAAAGAGACGCACGCAUCGGCUCGCACAGUAAACAAUCAGCCUGCGUACCGUUGGAUCCGACAUGAAGACGAUGUGCGCAGUGCUUAUCUGAGCCAACACGACUGAGGAUUAACAGCGGCCGACGUUCACAGGGAGAAGCUCCAUCUGAGGACGUCGAAUUGUGACGAUUGGAUUCAUCGCCGGUGCCACGAAUCGAUUGGAAAAAUGAGUCUUAACGCCUCCGACCGCAGCUCUACUUUCACAGUCAUUAACAUAUCUGCCAGGUAUUUGCGUUCACGGGUCACAGAGGAAGCGAGCGCUGCUUUGACACUCGCUCCAGGCCGCUCUGUUCGGCAUCAACAACAACAGCAACAGGUCGUUUUCCCUCCAGCUGCUCGUGGAAACAUGUGAAGUGAUUUAUUUUUUCCUUCUCCACUCGGAAAAAAUCCAAAGUGAGUCAGUUUGAACGGACGGAAGAUAUCCGAUAAGACGGGAGAGAGGAAACACCGCUUCUGUUCAGUUGUAGGGACUGGAGAUGUGACUGUACGCUGUAUUUACAGUAAGAUUUGAGAUAAACAAGCAAACGAACAAAAAGUAAAUUAACGGAUGGAUUGAUGUUAUAAUUAUCUAUCGACGCGUCUUAACAGCGAGCGGACUGCAAACCUUCUUCCCUUGUCUCAGCUUCACUGUCUUCUCUCUCAAAGCUCUGUGUUUUCCUAAUAAUUCCAUCUUUAAAGUAAUGAAACAAAAUACAUUUAUUUAUAUUAUAAUCCUAAAUCCUUUGAGUACAAUUAAGCACGUUUAAUCCCUCUUAUUCAAAGCGCAAACUGAAAACAAACAGGGCAAACUUUGUGGAAGCGGCCGUAUGGAUGGCAGAAAUCAUUGAGAGGCAGCUGUUAAAGGACAAAGAGAGGGAAAAAAAACAAAAAACAGAGACAUUAAAAAGGAACUUGAAUUAUAAAGACGCUGUAAACGAAGAAGUCUGUGUGUGCUGUAAACCCGCAGAGCCUAGAAGAAGCGAGGCCGCCGGCUGCCGGGCCACCUGCUACUACAGCUCCGAGUUUGAGAGAUGGCCGCGAUGUCUUCCAUCGGCUGUUUUCACACCCUCCCUCCUCCUCCUCCUCUUCCUCCUCCUCCACCCUGCUCAUCUCUUUUAGCGAGACAGACAGCAGCGAGGCUGAGGACGCGUUUGACGCUCCGCCAAGGAGAGGAAUAUUUCACCCCUGCCGGUGUCAGCGUGGACACCUCCGGCUGGCGAGAAAACACAAACGGGUCGAUACGCUGAUUGGCACGUAGCUGCAGAGUCACGGGUUCGGUCCGGUCCUCCUCUGACGGACGGAGACAAAUCCAUCAGGACGGACCGCACGCUGACACUAUACGUGCCGGCUGGCGGCCGCGCGCUCAUUUACAUCUUCUACAGUGGGGAAACUCACCGGCGGCACACUGACGGCUGCUCAGCAGGAGGUCGAGUGUCUGAAUGUUAAUCAAUGAGUUAAGAUCCAACAGUCUCUCGAACAAAUCAGCUGCAGCGUGCAUCACAGAGAGGAACGUUUAAUUCUAAAUAUCAUCGUCAAUACUGGAAUAUGGUGACAGCACAACUGAUCGGACGGAUUGGUGUCGACCUCACUGAACCGUUGAACUAGUAACCACAAUGUCACCAGACUCCCUUUACAAAUCAUUCAAUUUUGUGAAUUGUUGAGUAAAGAGAGACUUUAUAAACUUUGUCAAACUCCAUCUCUGACAAAUUAUUAAUCACACAUGCCUUCUUGUGAAUUCGGCAUUAAUUACAAAACAAAGUUGUUUGUUUCUUUGUAAAAAGGAAAAAAGCAUGUCUGCUUCAGCAGCUGUUUCAACACACUGUUUCAACAUUUACACUCAAUUUAUUAAAGAAGACAUUUUAUUGAUGGUUAACCUGUCAAAUUUUCGAAAUACAGUAAACAGUAACUAAUAUAGGCUACUUUUUUUGAGAAUUCGCCAGACUCCCUUGAAAAACUGCACAAUUCUGUGACUUGUUGCGUUGCGACACUUUAUAAACUUUGUGAACACAUUCUUUAACAGAUUCUUAACUAAUUGGACUUUCUUGUGAAUUCGGCAUUAAUUAUAAAACAUGAAGUUCUUUGUUUCCUUGUAAAAAGUGUGAGUUUGCGGCAGCAUGUCUGAACCAGCCUGUCAGCGUCUACGUCUAAAUUGAGUCUUACCUGCCAACAUUUAGCAGCUGUUUGAACACACUGUCUCAACAUUUACUCUCAAUUUAUGAAAGACGACAUUUUGUUUAUGGUUAACGUGUCAAAUUUUACAAAUACAGUAAACAGUAACUAAUAUAGACUACUUUUUUUUGAGAGGUCACCAGACUCCCUUAAAAAAUUGCACAAUUCUGUGAGUUGCUGAGUUAGGAGACACUUUAUAAGCUCUGUGAAACACAAUCUUUAACAAAUUCUUAACUAUUUGGACCUUCGUGUGAAUUCGGCACACGUUCUACAUUAAGUUCUUUCUUUGUGCUUCUUGUGAAGCGACGGACCUCGAGUUAGAGACACUCGCGACUCAGGACAGAUGUUAACACCAGGGCUGACCAGCGUCUAACUCAAAGCAAACGCAGAGAAAAGAAAGUUUUCCCACAAAAGGUCGAGAGAGUUGUAGGUGUGAGCGCAUAAUUAUUCUCACCAUAUGCUCUCAGUUUCUGCACAAACAAACACACCGGCACAUCCUUAAAGCCUCUGCUCGCGCUCCGGAGGAAAUCCCAGUGAAAGCACCGGGGUGGUGGUUGUUUUAAACAAGAAGCCGAUCCUCGCUCAUGGAGGGACUGUAAAUAAGCUCUGAGCUCGCUUCUCUCUGGAGGAACGCCGGCUUGCUGAUUCCCACUACGAGGACGGCCUUUCGAUAGUUUCCCUUCCAAUCAUCCUCCAGAAAACGUUCCCCCCAUAUGUUGCCAGAUAAAAACGUCUUUGAUAUUCCUACAUGUCUUAUCCCCCCUGACUGGCUGGCUGGCUGGCUGACUGGCUGGCUGACUGGCUGGCUGACUGGCUGGCUGGCGAGCUCGCGGUCUUUAAAAAGGGAGCGUUGCGUUGGUGCGUCUGACAGCUGAGCGGGACCCUGUGAUGCCGGUAACGACAUGAGGGAUGACAACAGAAGCUCCGACAUCAAAAGCCCUGCAGCACCGACACACACACACACACACACAUUUGCAGCAGAUUACGGAGGCCAGUUAUUCAUCAGCGCUUACACGAGCCGGGUUACGAGUCAGAACACAUAUACGCACGCACAAGAGCAGCUCUGAAACGACUCCCGCAGCUCAUUUGUACAUGAAGAAGAAGAAGAAAAAAGAAAACAGCGCGCCUCUCAGCGUCCUAUCGACACUCACUUAAGAUAAUGAGGCCUGUUGGGGAGGAUAUAGAUUGGAGGACGAAUCUCGGAGCUUCUGAAUGGGCAGGCGAGGCAGAUAAAGGGGCUUUAGAAAGAGAAUCUCCAGGACGCGAGGUGGCAAUUUGUCAGGAUUAAAGCUGGAUGGUGUCUGUCAUUGUGUGUGUGUGUGUGUGUGUGUGUGUGUGUUGUUGCAGCGUCAGGUGUUGUUCAUUACCCCUGAGCUCGCCCAGGGAAUCGGGGCGCUGAUCUGCGAGGUCGUCUGAGGCUUUUCAUCCUGAGCAUCCUCAGCACAACCUCACGGAAAAAGCACCGUUUUCUUCAUCAGCUGAUUACAUUAUUGGUUAACUGAUUAAUCAUGUGGUUUAUGAUAAUGAGAGCAAAUAGUCUUAAGCUAUAAAUAUUAACUUUGUGAUGACAUUAAAUGUAUAAAAUGCAGCACAUCCUCACAUUUAACUGUGAUUUUUUGGGAUAUUUUUGCUAAUAAAUGACUUCGUGAAUAAUCCAAACAACCAAUUAAUUAAGUCUAUGUAGUUAAGAACAUUUUCUAAACAGUAAACUAACAAAAUAUCAGAAAUACAGUAAACUGUAGCAGAUAUAAAGCUUCUCAUG
This is a long non-coding RNA of Acanthopagrus latus (yellowfin seabream), 6116 nucleotides long. RefSeq lists it as uncharacterized. The record is from RefSeq and is a predicted model, not a curated record. Lineage: Eukaryota; Metazoa; Chordata; Actinopteri; Spariformes; Sparidae. The transcript is spliced from 3 exons.